This 371-nucleotide ribosomal RNA is filed under the name uncultured bacterium. Its description in RNAcentral is "bacterial SSU rRNA". It matches the Rfam family "Bacterial small subunit ribosomal RNA", at positions 527 to 896 of the family's 1533-position model. The record is from RNAcentral.
GGAGGGUGCAAGCGUUGUUCGGAAUUAUUGGGCGUAAAGCGCGUGUAGGCGGUCGAGUAAGUCAGAUGUGAAAGCCUUCCGCUCAACGGAAGAAGUGCAUUUGAAACUGCUUGACUAGAGUACGGGAGAGGAGAGUGGAAUUCCCGGUGUAGAGGUGAAAUUCGUAGAUAUCGGGAGGAACACCAGUGGCGAAGGCGGCUCUCUGGUCCGAUACUGACGCUGAGACGCGAAAGCGUGGGGAGCAAACAGGAUUAGAUACCCUGGUAGUCCACGCCGUAAACGAUGGGCACUAGGUGUAGGAGGUAUUGACCCCUUCUGUGCCGAAGCUAACGCAUUAAGUGCCCCGCCUGGGGAGUACGGCCGCAAGGUUG